UACAGAGGGUGCAAGCGUUAAUCGGAAUUACUGGGCGUAAAGCGUGCGUAGUCGGUUAUUUAAGUCAGGUGUGAAAUCCCCGGGCUCAACCUGGGAAUUGCAUUUGAUACUGGAUAGCUAGAGUUCGGCAGAGGGAAGUGGAAUUUCUGGUGUAGCGGUGAAAUGCGUAGAUAUCAGAAGGAACAUCAGUGGCGAAAGCGACUUCCUGGACCAGAACUGACGAUCAGGCACGAAAGCGUGGGGAGCAAACAGGAUUAGAUACCCUGGUAGUCCACGCCAUAAACGAUGACAACUAGACGUUGGGGACAUAUGGUCCACAGUGUCGCAGCUAACGCGUUAAGUUGUCCGCCUGGGGAGUACGGCCGCAAGGUUG
RNAcentral lists this ribosomal RNA (373 nucleotides) under uncultured prokaryote. RNAcentral describes it as "bacterial SSU rRNA". It matches the Rfam family "Bacterial small subunit ribosomal RNA", at positions 524 to 896 of the family's 1533-position model. The record is from RNAcentral.